AAACAACCUCCUCCCUCUUGACAUGUCCCUCCCUUUCAUUCCCUCUCUCUUUUUCUCACACCCUUCGUUCUCAGACAAACAUUUCUAAGAGUGAACAUAAUGUUUGUGGUUUAAACGGGACAGUCUGCCUCUUAUGACAGCAUCAUCCGAUAACAGCAACAGUUCACCCAACGAACGUGGAAUAUACAGAACAACAAUCUACAAUAACAGUCAUGCGUCCCAGGUCCAGAUUACAGGCUAAACGCGGCCUUCCCACCAUCAGGGAGGGCUAUGAGGAGCUGGUGCAGGACCUGAACCAGACCAACAGCCAGCACACCACCACACAGGACUACUUCCUUUCUAUCUGCCAUCUGGCCCGGCCCACCUUUCCUCUGCAUGAGCCCGACUGUGACAUCCUCUCCAUCGGCCCUUUGGAUUCUCCAAAGCCCUGCCUACGACUGCAACGCCUGCGUCAGCAUCUGCAGCCUCCGCAGCCCCACACCUCCACAAGCAGUGAUGAGACAGAUGAACAAGCCCAUAAAGAGAAAGAUACCACCAGAUCUGCUCCGUCAGAACCACUGCAGGCCCAGGCUGCCCCAGAGGAGGACAACGGAUGCAGAGGUGACAUCCCAGGCCCGGCAGAUCCACUGGAGUAUCUCUAUAGCCACAGAGGUGCACUAGCGCUCUCCAGCAGACGGGGCAGCAUUCCCCCGCGCCGGCCACGCAGUGACACCUUCCCAUGCUGUUCCUCGGCGCCUGAUGUCCAGCGGAAAAGCAGCUGCCCAGAGCUUUGUCUGCCUGAAACGGUCCCUGCGGUGAUGGUCCUGCAGCGGUCACCACUCAGCAGGAAGAAGCUGGAUGAAGGCAGCCUGGCUGCACGCAGUGGCAUUCCCAACAAGCUUGACGGCACCCCUGCUGGUUGGAGGGGAAAGAGCAGUCGUUGCAUGGACAAACAGACUAUAGUGUCCCACUGGAUCUCAGAGUGCCGCAGCGCAUGGAAGGAAGCCCGCAUUCGCGCAUGCAUGCUGCCCGCCAUUGCUGAGAAGUAAUCUACGGCUGCAAAAAUCUCUUUCCAGUGAGGGUGAAUAUCACGUAGAGUAACAUGGAUUAUUGUGAAAUUAUGACUUUGCACUUCAGGUUUAUAUGCAUAUACAUUUUUGAUGUAUUUUUAAACUUGUGACCCUAUCGAUGGUGCCGUGUCGAUACCACACCAUAGUGUAGAGUUACAAUGAAUGUCAAUGAUGAAUGAGUCAGUCUAGUAAUGUCCAGUCGUGAUCAAUAAAUGCAUUGAUUGUUGGAUGCCUUUAACAUUGUUUGGUGAGGUUUAAAAAUAAAAAGCAACAUUUAAAUUGCAGUUUAAUAUACAAAAAUCAGUGUAGUUUAAAGGAUACAGCAAUGCAUAAUAUUCAUAAAUAAGAAUCUCACUGCAUGUGUCCACAGCUAUAUUUGGCUGGGAAGACCCAGGUUUUAUCAAAUUUGCAUAUUAGGCAGCCAGUGAUGCAGAAUGAAUAUGCCAUGCUUCCUUGAAAUAUUGUCAAACAUCUUAUGACAUUUCCAAGAUUUUUGGGAAACGGGUUCAGCAAACAAUCUGACUAGGAUUAGGAUGCAUUUCCACCACAAAUAUGUUCAGAGAUAUUAUGUCCAACUGUUAUUUCUAUAUAAUGUCUCAAACAAUUGCUUCUUUGUUCACAUUAAUAGAUUGGUAUUUUGCAACAGAAUGACUAAGGAAACAAGCUUUUAUAAUUCACUACCGCCUUCUGACAACAAAGACAAAAUUAGUCAUCGUGUUUGUUUUCUGGCCCUUGUUUUGCAAUUUAAAAAAUAGAGUGAACUGGAUAGUCCUGUUGGAGGAUAAAUGAUUGAAUGUCCUGGUUAGGAAUCACUGUUGUUCAACAAACGACCAUACAAUAAAAAUAAAAAAAAAUCUGACCUACAUCAUCUUGAUAUUCAGAACUAUGGCAAAAGGCUAAAGUACACCUGCACUGUUAUCAUGUAAGACUGUUUGUACACACGCAGAAAAUCCUGUUUUCUCUGCUUUGAUUUGGUGUUUCAGUAUUUUAAGAUCGUCUUACUGUUAAAAGAUUAAUUAGUAUGGCUGCAUGUGAAUUUGUAAAUUUUGUAUUAUGCAUAUGAAAUUUCUUUAAAUUAUUAUAACGUAUGUAAUGAUUUCAGAGAAAAUGUAUAUUACACUAUAUGAGAACCCAUACCCGUACAACCCCCCCCCCACCACACACACACACAAUUUUUUUAAAUGAAUAAAAUGUCUGUGUUUUAUGUAUGAAUUCUGUGUGUUUUAUCCCCCGUUCCUUCAAGUAUAUUAAAAAUUACAAUGAUUCUUCUGAUAAAGGCUGUUAACCUGAUGACUUUCAGAAUCGAUUUAAAUCAAUUUUAUUGAUCCAUGGGAAAAAGCUAAUGAAUAUUAUGGUUUAGCAUAAUGUCCUAUACUGUAAUUUCAAAUUAAUUUUUUUUUUUUACAGUGAUAAGAAGCUUCGGUUUGGAUAGUAAUUUGAAAUAAUAUUUGUAUA
Cyprinus carpio carpio is the source of this 2504-nucleotide long non-coding RNA. NCBI's taxonomy places the organism in Eukaryota, Metazoa, Chordata, Actinopteri, Cypriniformes, Cyprinidae. The record is from Ensembl.